UAAUACGUAGGGUGCGAGCGUUAAUCGGAAUUACUGGGCGUAAAGCGUGCGCAGGCGGUUCGCUAAGACAGAUGUGAAAGCCCCGGGCUUAACCUGGGAAUUGCGUUUGUGACUGGCGGGCUAGAGUGCGGCAGAGGGAGGUGGAAUUCCACGUGUAGCAGUGAAAUGCGUAGAGAUGUGGAGGAACACCGAUGGCGAAGGCAGCCUCCUGGGCCAGCACUGACGCUCAGGCACGAAAGCGUGGGGAGCAAACAGGAUUAGAUACCCUGGUAGUCCACGCCCUAAACGAUGUCGACUAGUUGUUGGGGAAGGAGACUUCCUUAGUAACGCAGCUAACGCGUGAAGUCGACCGCCUGGGGAGUACGGUCGCAAGACUA
RNAcentral lists this ribosomal RNA (377 nucleotides) under uncultured bacterium. Its description in RNAcentral is "bacterial SSU rRNA". It matches the Rfam family "Bacterial small subunit ribosomal RNA", at positions 521 to 896 of the family's 1533-position model. The record is from RNAcentral.